AUUGAACGCUGGCGGCAUGCCUUACACAUGCAAGUCGAACGGCAGCACGGGAGCAAUCCUGGUGGCGAGUGGCGAACGGGUGAGUAAAGUAUCGGAACGUGCCCAGUCGUGGGGGAUAACGUAGCGAAAGUUACGCUAAUACCGCAUACGAUCUACGGAUGAAAGCGGGGGAUCGCAAGACCUCGCGCGAUUGGAGCGGCCGAUAUCAGAUUAGGUAGUUGGUGGGGUAAAGGCUCACCAAGCCGACGAUCUGUAGCUGGUCGGAGAGGACGACCAGCCACACUGGGACUGAGACACGGCCCAGACUCCUACGGGAGGCAGCAGUGGGGAAUUUUGGACAAUGGGCGCAAGCCUGAUCCAGCCAUGCCGCGUGCAGGAUGAAGGCCUUCGGGUUGUAAACUGCUUUUGUACGGAACGAAAAGGUUUGACUUAAUACGUUGGACUCAUGACGGUACCGUAAGAAUAAGCACCGGCUAACUACGCGCCAGCAGCCGCCGUAA
This 500-nucleotide ribosomal RNA is filed under the name uncultured bacterium. RNAcentral describes it as "partial 16S ribosomal RNA". It matches the Rfam family "Bacterial small subunit ribosomal RNA", at positions 30 to 523 of the family's 1533-position model. The record is from RNAcentral.